AUUGAACGCUGGCGGAAUGCUUUACACAUGCAAGUCGAACGGUAGAGGGGGCAACCCCUUGAGAGUGGCGAACGGGUGAGUAAUAUAUCGGAACGUGCCCAGUCGUGGGGAUAACGUAGCGAAAGUUACGCUAAUACCGCAUACGAUCUAAGGAUGAAAGCGGGGGACUCGCAAGAGCCUCGCGCGAUUGGAGCGGCCGAUAUCAGAUUAGGUAGUUGGUGGGGUAAAGGCUCACCAAGCCAACGAUCUGUAGCUGGUCUGAGAGGACGACCAGCCACACUGGAACUGAGACACGGUCCAGACUCCUACGGGAGGCAGCAGUGGGGAAUUUUGGACAAUGGACGCAAGUCUGAUCCAGCCAUUCCGCGUGCAGGAUGAAGGCCCUCGGGUUGUAAACUGCUUUUGUACGGAACGAAAAGGUUUGUCUUAAUACGAUGAGCUCAUGACGGUACCGUAAGAAUAAGCACCGGCUAACUACGUG
Molecule: ribosomal RNA, 481 nt
Filed under: uncultured bacterium
Lineage: Bacteria
Description: bacterial SSU rRNA
Rfam family: Bacterial small subunit ribosomal RNA
Source: RNAcentral